AUGGAGAGGGUCGAGGUUGACGCGGACUUUGUUGUUGCUGGCAAUUGGAAGCUACAUGGUGAACUAUGUAAGAAACUUUACACUAUAGUUCAUGAAGUUUCAAUUGCCAUCCCUGCCCUUGAGAGUACAAAACCUGGAAGUAAUUCUGGACUUCUGGCGUUGAGCUCCUUGCGCAUAGCUGUUGAUAAAGCCAAGAAUCUGCUUCAGUAUUGCUCAGAGUGUAGCAAGCUUUACUUGGCCCUAACAGCAGAAUGUGUUCUUACAAAAUUUGAGAAAGCAAGAUGCGCUCUUUUAGAAAGUCUUCACCAGUUGGAAGAAACACUUCCAGAAGCAAUUGAUUCUCAGAUCCCAGAGAUUGCAAAUGAGCUGGAGAAUUCAGUUUUUGCUUUGGAUCAGGCUGAAAAGCAAGUUGGUGAUCAAGUGAAACAGAUAAUUCAGAAUGAGAAGAAAUCCAAUGGAUUCCUUGAUGACAAUGAACUUGAAUUCUUUCGGCAAACUAUUUUGAGAGCUGGCAUUACAUCAUCUGCUGCAGCUCUUACUGAGAGAAGAGCACUUAGAAGGCUUCUUGAAAGAGCCCAGGCAGAAGAAGACACAAAGAAAGAAUCAAUAGCAUCCUAUCUGCUACAUCUUAUGAGGAAAUAUUCAAGUCAUUUCAGGAGCGAAACAAUGGAUUCCAUCAGCUCCCAGUGCUCAAGUCCUUCGUGCUCCUUCACUUCAAUGUCCAGCUCAACUGAUCUCCAUGGAAAUCUCGAGAAGCUCCUGCCUAGGUCUGGCUCCAUCAAUUUCAAGCAGAUUAAAGGGCUAUCAGGGAGCAUGCCAUUGCCACCUGAGGAACUAAGGUGUCCAAUCUCUCUGCAGCUCAUGUAUGACCCUGUUGUUAUCGCAUCUGGUCAGACCUACGAGCGAGCUUGCAUCGAGAAAUGGUUUAACAGUGGGAAUACAACCUGCCCCAAAACUCGGAAAGAGUUACCCCAGCUUUCCGUGACACCUAAUUACUGCAUCAAGGGUCUGAUAACAUCCUGGUGUGAACAAAAUGGGGUUCCAGUUCCUAAUGCCCCGCCAGAAUCCCCAAAGCUCAAAUAUUUGAGGAUAACAUCUCUGAAGAGUAGCAAAUGCGUGGUGACGAAUGGUGUUAGCACGAUUUUGUUCGAAGACGCAGGCGCAAAAGACACAAAAGACGACAAGUUGAACACCGACGUUGCUUUGGAGAAGUGCUCUAGUCAUAAUUCCAGGGAAGCAACAUCUGAGACAUGCGAAGAAGAGGAGGAGGUCUCUGUGGACAAGUGCUCUUUUCAGAAUAACCCUGUAGAGGCUGCACCCGAGAGAUGUGAACGCUGGCUGCGUGUGCUAAGCAAGGGCAGUGAGUGCAUCGAUGAGCAGCGUGAGGUGGUCGAGCAGGUCAGGUUCCAGUUGAAGGGUGAUGAUGAGCUCAGGGACUAUGUGGGUGCUAAUGGUAUUACUGAGCCACUCACCUGCUUCCUGAAGAUGGCUCUCAGCAGAGAAGACGUGCAAUCUCAGGAGGUCGGAACAAUGGCUCUUUUCAAUCUUGCCGUCAGCAAUAACAGGAACAAGCGGCAGCUGCUCUCAGCUGGAGUUAUCCCUCUGAUGGAGCAGAUGAUGCAGAAACCGGAGACCUGCGAGGCUGCGGUGGCGAUGUACCUCAACCUCUCCUGUCUGGAGGAGGCGCAGGCCAUCAUCGGCUCGAGCCAAGUCAUCCCUGUCCUGAUCAGGUGCCUGCAAGAAGAAGGGUACCGGAGCGACACGUGCCGGCUGGACGCGCUCCUGACGCUGUACAACCUGUCCCUGCACGCGCCCAACAUCCCGGCGCUCCUCUCGUCGGGCGUCGUCCACAGCAUCCACACCGUCCUGGCGCCAUCGUCGUCGUCGUGGACGGACCAGGCCCUGACCUUGCUGAUCAACCUGGCGCUGACCUGGGCCGGGAAGAAGGAGAUUGCGGCGAACCAGGCCAUCGUGGGCGACAUCGUGUUCAUCCUGGACAACGGCGAGGCGGCGGAGCAGGAGAAGGCGGUGUCGUGCCUGUGGAUGAUCUGCAACGGCGACGAGGGGUGCAGCCAGACGGUGCUGCAGGAGGGCGUGAUCCCGGCGCUGGUGUCCCUGACGGCGAACGGCACGGGCAAGGCCAAGGACAAGGCGCAGAAGCUGCUCCGGCUGUUCCGGGAGCAGCGGCAGCGCGAGCUGGAGCAGCAGCAGCCGCGGGUGGAGCUGCUCGAGGUGGCCAGCCAGGCCGCCGCGCAGCAGGAACAGGAGGAGGAAGAGCAGCAGCAGCAACAACAGCAGGAGGAGGCCGCGGCGGCGGCGGGGAAGACGGCGGCGUCCGAGCAGAGCAGCGAGGGCAAGAAGCCGCCGGCGCGGCUGAGCAGGUCCAAGUCCAAGCGGCUGGCCAGGGUCAUCACCUGCCUCAUCAAAAAGUGGACGACGCCAGGCGGCGGCGGCGACAAGUGUAAACUGUGA
RNAcentral lists this ribosomal RNA (2472 nucleotides) under Triticum aestivum (bread wheat). RNAcentral's name for it is "partial small subunit ribosomal RNA". The record is from RNAcentral. Lineage: Eukaryota; Viridiplantae; Streptophyta; Magnoliopsida; Poales; Poaceae.